AGACAACCUUAUGGGGCAAGGCUUGCUUCAGUGGGGCUUUGGUGCUCACUGAGUCUGCCCCCUGAGUGUGUCCCU
Molecule: microRNA precursor, 75 nt
Filed under: Myotis lucifugus (little brown bat)
Lineage: Eukaryota; Metazoa; Chordata; Mammalia; Chiroptera; Vespertilionidae
Description: mir-9229 microRNA precursor family
Rfam family: mir-9229 microRNA precursor family
Source: Rfam by way of RNAcentral